GUAAAGAUGAGGAUCAGGAGGAGUAAGCGGGAUCGGCUCUGGCGAGCCGCUCUUGAGCGGAAAGAGAAGAGGGUCACCGGCUGCAAGCCCUCGCAGCGCCCCCCGCUGAACGUCACCUGGGAGUCGAGAGACUGAACGGGCCAAUAAUCGCCAGGUAAGUCUCUCCGGAUUCGUCCGUUAUCGCGAGCGCCCUGUUCUAUAGGGCGACAGAGUGCAACGAUAGAACCCACUAGUCCCGAAAAUCCGUGUUCUAUUGUUGAACCAGGGUGGUACCGCGAAAGAUUCCCCCUUUCGUCCUUGGA
Molecule: non-coding RNA, 302 nt
Filed under: Anaerolineaceae bacterium
Lineage: Bacteria; Bacillati; Chloroflexota; Anaerolineae; Anaerolineales; Anaerolineaceae
Description: T-box sequence
Rfam family: T-box leader
About the family: Uncharged tRNA acts as the effector for transcription antitermination of genes in the T-box leader family. T-boxes are found upstream of many aminoacyl-tRNA synthetase genes and some amino acid biosynthetic genes usually in Gram-positive bacteria. The anticodon of a specific tRNA base pairs to a specifier sequence within the T-box motif, and the NCCA acceptor tail of the tRNA base pairs to a conserved bulge in the T-box antiterminator hairpin.
Source: RNAcentral